RNAcentral lists this unclassified non-coding RNA (685 nucleotides) under Hevea brasiliensis (rubber tree). Lineage: Eukaryota; Viridiplantae; Streptophyta; Magnoliopsida; Malpighiales; Euphorbiaceae. The record is from RNAcentral.
AGCAAGGUGAAGAGCCUACUUUCCCUAAAACAUGCACCAGGCUUAAUUUUCUAUAAUAUAAGAAUUAAAUUGCAAUUUUUCUUAAAAAAAUAGUAAUAACAAAGGCUAAUUGCUUUCUGUAGGAGAAAGCAGGCUGAUUAUUAGAAAUAUUGAGAAUAUUAAAAAAUAAUAUUUUUUUAAAAAAAUAUUUUUUAUAAUAAAAAAUAAAUUUAUAUAAUUAUAAAAAAUAAUAUAUAUGGACCGAAAAACAGUUUCUUGGAAAAGUGAUGUGUUCAGGAACUAUGGGUAAUGUAUAUCGCUACGGAACAACGUUAGGCAAAUACGCCCAUAUCAGGCAGUUGACUUCCAUCCCAUGCAUUAAAAACAAAGGUUUAACCUGCACCUACUCCACCGUCAAAGACUCCAAUUCCCAGCUCACGUUAGUAGAAACAGUAGCAAUUCACUAACAUGCGCACACAUAAAACCGACAGGAAAUAAAGAAGAGGCAUAGAAGAGAAAUAAUUAUUAGGUGCACUUUGAUGUGCUAAAAAAUAGUAUUUCUUUUAUCACAUAAAGUAAAUUUAAGAAGUAAAUUAAUAUGAUUAUGAUUGUGAGAGAAUAUAUAUGUGCACCAGGUGCACUUAAUAAUUCCUCCUAAAAGAGUAGAGCUGAAGAGAACUCACAGUAACGAGCAUUGGCGAGGCUG